UACGGAGGGGGCAAGCGUUAUUCGGAAUCAUUGGGCGUAAAGGGCGCGUAGGCGGCUUGGCAAGUCAAAGGUGAAAUCCCUCGGCCUAACCGAGGAACUGCCUUUGAAACUGCUUGGCUUGAGGCCGGGAGAGGGUAGCGGAAUUCCCAGUGUAGCGGUGAAAUGCGUAGAUAUUAGGAAGAACACCAGUGGCGAAGGCGGCUCACUGGCUCGGUACUGACGCUGAGGCGCGAAAGCGUGGGGAGCAAACAGG
This 253-nucleotide ribosomal RNA is filed under the name uncultured bacterium. RNAcentral's name for it is "partial 16S ribosomal RNA". It matches the Rfam family "Bacterial small subunit ribosomal RNA", at positions 524 to 776 of the family's 1533-position model. The record is from RNAcentral.